GAUGAACGCUGGCGGCGUGCCUAAUACAUGCAAGUCGAGCGAACAGAUGAGGAGCUUGCUCCUCUGACGUUAGCGGCGGACGGGUGAGUAACACGUGGAUAACCUACCUAUAAGACUGGGAUAACUUCGGGAAACCGGAGCUAAUACCGGAUAAUAUAUUGAACCGCAUGGUUCAAUAGUGAAAGACGGUUUUGCUGUCACUUAUAGAUGGAUCCGCGCCGCAUUAGCUAGUUGGUAAGGUAACGGCUUACCAAGGCAACGAUGCGUAGCCGACCUGAGAGGGUGAUCGGCCACACUGGAACUGAGACACGGUCCAGACUCCUACGGGAGGCAGCAGUAGGGAAUCUUCCGAAAUGGGCGAAAGCCUGACGGAGCAACGCCGCGUGAGUGAUGAAGGUCUUCGGAUCGUAAAACUCUGUUAUUAGGGAAGAACAAAUGUGUAAGUAACUAUGCACGUCUUGACGGUACCUAAUCAGAAGGCCACGGCUAACUACG
This 495-nucleotide ribosomal RNA is filed under the name uncultured bacterium. RNAcentral's name for it is "partial 16S ribosomal RNA". It matches the Rfam family "Bacterial small subunit ribosomal RNA", at positions 28 to 505 of the family's 1533-position model. The record is from RNAcentral.